CUGGAAUACAGAUUUGCCACAGUACAACAGCUCUUAAGGAAAGGAACUUUUAAAUACUUAAGCAGGCAAUCAAUGCAUUGGACAAUCUACCAAGGAGAAGUCUACAUCUACUGGCUUUUCAGAAAGCAGUCUUAAAUGGUGAAAUAAACAUCCUCAAAUCUGAAUUAAUAACUGAAAGAACUGCAGUCGCUGGAAAUCAAAAACAACAACAGAAAUUGCUAAAAAAAAAUCUCAGAAGGUCUGGUAACAUCUGUGGAGAAAAAGCUUUUGGGACUUCAUACCAUCCCAAAGUAUUUUACAGUCAAUUAAAGAGUUUAGAAGUGUUGCUGUGACAAAGGAAACAAAGGAGCCAAUUUGCAUACAAAACACAAAUAUCUUCUCUGAUGUAAUUUGAGGAAACUAAAGAUCGUCCAGGGGAAACUAAUAUCCAACAGCAACAUCAAGACUGGAGAACACCUUUUGCAAAGGUUGUUUGGAAAACCAAAUAUUCAUCAUGGUUUGUGUAAAACAAAUCAACUGAACCUGAAUGUUUCACCCUCAAAUGGCUGUCUUCUGAACCAACCAAGUCAUCGACCAUUUAUAAAAUCAGAGACUUGGAGGGAGAUGGGAUUGUGAUAAAAUUACAUAUUUAACAUUAACUGUAUAUAAAUUUGGCAAUCAGAAAAUUGUUUGUGGGAGAUAUUGUACAGGCAGCUAAUACCUAAAAGGAUUAGCUGGCAUCACAAGAUAAGUGCCACGCAUUGAGAUAUAAAGGACUGUUUGAUAUCAGUGUUCCUAUUGCUCCAGUGCUAAGUUCCAUAUCGAUAACUAUAAUGUGUUCUUUCUCUCAG
Stegostoma tigrinum is the source of this 830-nucleotide long non-coding RNA. RefSeq lists it as uncharacterized. The transcript has 4 exons. Lineage: Eukaryota; Metazoa; Chordata; Chondrichthyes; Orectolobiformes; Stegostomatidae. The record is from RefSeq and is a predicted model, not a curated record.